Hippopotamus amphibius kiboko is the source of this 73-nucleotide small nucleolar RNA. RefSeq annotates it as small nucleolar RNA SNORD113/SNORD114 family. The record is from RefSeq and is a predicted model, not a curated record. The transcript has a single exon. Lineage: Eukaryota; Metazoa; Chordata; Mammalia; Artiodactyla; Hippopotamidae.
CGGAUCAUUAAUGAUGACUGGCGGCGUGUGAGUCACGGAUGAUGAGUAGUAUGUGCGUGGAACUCGGGUUCAA